UACGUAGGGGGCUAGCGUUGUCCGGAAUCAUUGGGCGUAAAGAGCGCGUAGGCGGCUAGAUAAGUCCGGUGUGAAAGUCACAGGCUCAACCUGUGAAUGCCGCUGGAAACUGUCUGGCUAGAGUCCGGAAGGGGCGAGUGGAAUUCCUGGUGUAGCGGUGAAAUGCGCAGAUAUCAGGAGGAACACCAAUGGCGAAGGCAGCUCGCUGGGACGGUACUGACACUGAGGUGCGAAAGCGUGGGGAGCAAACAGG
Molecule: ribosomal RNA, 253 nt
Filed under: uncultured bacterium
Lineage: Bacteria
Description: partial 16S ribosomal RNA
Rfam family: Bacterial small subunit ribosomal RNA
Source: RNAcentral